GACGAACGCUGGCGGCGUGCCUAAUACAUGCAAGUAGAACGCACAGUUUAUACCGUAGCUUGCUACACCAUAGACUGUGAGUUGCGAACGGGUGAGUAACGCGUAGGUAACCUGCCUGGUAGCGGGGGAUAACUAUUGGAAUCGAUAGCUAAUACCGCAUAAUAUUAAUUAUUGCAUGAUAAUUAAUUGAAAGGUGCAAUUGCACCACUACCAGAUGGACCUGCGUUGUAUUAGCUAGUAGGUGAGGUAACGGCUCACCUAGGCGACGAUACAUAGCCGACCUGAUAGGGUGAUCGGCCAAACUGGGACUGAGACACGGCCCAGACUCCUACGGGAGGCAGCAGUAGGGAAUCUUCGGCAAUGGACGAAAGUCUGACCGAGCAACGCCGCGUGAGUGAAGAAGGUUGUCGGAUCGUAAAGCUCUGUUGUAAGAGAAGAACGGGUGUGAGAGUGGAAAGUUCACACUGUGACGGUAUCUUACCAGAAAGGGACGGCUAACUACGUG
This 505-nucleotide ribosomal RNA is filed under the name uncultured bacterium. Its description in RNAcentral is "partial 16S ribosomal RNA". It matches the Rfam family "Bacterial small subunit ribosomal RNA", at positions 28 to 507 of the family's 1533-position model. The record is from RNAcentral.